AAGAUGUACCGGAAACUGCUCCGGUUCUGUCCAUCUUGUCCCCUUUCAAGGGCGAUGGACCGGAUAUUUGUCUGGCCGCCGGGUUCUUUCCUCAAGAAAAGAAUAUGACUUUGACUUUGGAAGGUAACGAACCUAAAAGUCUUACCCCCAGCAAUGCACCUUUGUUCAGCACGACCAAAACCUAUUAUUAUGCUGGAUUCAGUGAUAAUACAAAAAUCAAUGAAUGCAAAAUGGAUGGACAAACUGCAGACAAAACUCCAGACACUCCUGAAACGACAGGUGUUCCAAAAAUGAACUUCAUGAAUCUUCUUGUGACAGGUCUGAGAAUUCUGCUUGCUAAAUGUGUUGCAGUUAAUGUAAUGAUGACUGUAAAGGCAUUCGUAUUUUAA
Cyprinus carpio (common carp) is the source of this 389-nucleotide long non-coding RNA. The record is from Ensembl. NCBI's taxonomy places the organism in Eukaryota, Metazoa, Chordata, Actinopteri, Cypriniformes, Cyprinidae.